CAGUGUUCCCUGCCCUCACGGGUAGAAACGCCCACCCUUGUGUAUUAUAUCUUUGUUGCUUCGGCAGGCCGCCCUCGGGCACCGGCUCCGGCUGGAUCGUGCCUGCCAAAGGAAACCCAAACUCUGAAUGUUAGUGUCGUCUGAGUACUAUCUAAUAGUUA
This 161-nucleotide unclassified non-coding RNA is filed under the name uncultured fungus. RNAcentral's name for it is "sequence contains ITS1, 5.8S rRNA gene". Lineage: Eukaryota; Fungi. The record is from RNAcentral.